Molecule: ribosomal RNA, 253 nt
Filed under: uncultured bacterium
Lineage: Bacteria
Description: partial 16S ribosomal RNA
Rfam family: Bacterial small subunit ribosomal RNA
Source: RNAcentral
GACGAACCGAGCGAACGUUGUUCGGAAUCACUGGGCUUAAAGGGCGCGUAGGCGGGCCAUCAAGUCAAGGGUGAAAGCCCCCGGCUCAACCGGGGAAGUGCCUCUGAUACUGGUGGCCUCGAGGGAGGUAGGGGCGUGCGGAACUUCCGGUGGAGAGGUGAAAUUCGUAGAUAUUCGCAAGAACACCAGUGGCGAAGGCGGCUCACUGGCCCGGUACUGACGCUGAGGUGCGAAAGCGUGGGGAGCAAACAGG